This 207-nucleotide ribosomal RNA is filed under the name uncultured bacterium. RNAcentral's name for it is "partial 16S ribosomal RNA". It matches the Rfam family "Bacterial small subunit ribosomal RNA", at positions 568 to 774 of the family's 1533-position model. The record is from RNAcentral.
CACGUAGGCGGACCAUUAAGUCGGGGGUGAAAUCCCGGGGCUCAACCCCGGAACUGCCUUCGAUACUGGUGGUCUGGAGGUCGAGAGAGGCGAGUGGAAUUCCGAGUGUAGAGGUGAAAUUCGUAGAUAUUCGGAGGAACACCAGUGGCGAAGGCGGCUCGCUGGCUCGAUACUGACGCUGAGGUGCGAAAGCGUGGGGAGCAAACA